CAUUUGGGCAGCCCCAGCCCAUCUACCCAGGCUAUCAUCAGUCCAGCUACGGUGGGCAAUCAGGGUCCACAGCCCCCGCCAUUCCCUAUGGAGCCUACAAUGGCCCAGUACCAGGCUAUCAGCAAACACCUCCCCAAGGUAUGUCAAGAGCCCCACCUUCCUCGGGGGCACCUCCAGCCUCAACAGCACAGGCUCCUUGUGGCCAGGCUGCAUAUGGCCAGUUUGGCCAAGGAGAUGUACAGAAUGGGCCAAGCUCCACGGUUCAGAUGCAAAGGUUACAGGUACUGCUGACGUCCAGCCCUGUGGAUUAUUGACCCAUCUUAGUACCUGGGUUCCUUUGCAUAUUCUUCAUUUUCUGUGAACUUGAGUUUCUUGCUUUACUAGACAUACAUCUUCAAUAAUGGUUGCAGUCCUAUUGAGCCUACCCUAAGGGAGAAAUGGGAAGAGGGAACCUCAGGAUUAUUUGCAUCUCUUUUGACUUGCCCCUUUCCUUUAGAUCAGGCACUUAGUAAGACUGACUGGUUAAGUUUGGGCAUGGUGAGUUAUGAACUGAAAGAUACUAAAAGGGAAACCACAUAAAUGGUGAAAACUUCAGUGGUACAAUGACCCAAUAAACCCAUCUUAGCAUGAAAGUCCAUUAAAGGAGGGCAGUCAUCUGUA
Molecule: small RNA, 660 nt
Filed under: Pongo abelii (Sumatran orangutan)
Lineage: Eukaryota; Metazoa; Chordata; Mammalia; Primates; Hominidae
Description: processed transcript
Source: RNAcentral